This 448-nucleotide ribosomal RNA is filed under the name Aeribacillus sp. G23D008. Its description in RNAcentral is "bacterial SSU rRNA". It matches the Rfam family "Bacterial small subunit ribosomal RNA", at positions 95 to 526 of the family's 1533-position model. The record is from RNAcentral. Lineage: Bacteria; Bacillati; Bacillota; Bacilli; Caryophanales; Bacillaceae.
GCGGCGGACGGGUGGAGUAACACGUGGGGAAGCUGCCCUGCAGACUGGGAUAACUUCGGGAAACCGGAGCUAAUACCGGAUAACACCGAAAACCGCAUGGUUUUCGGUUGAAAGGCGGCUUUUAGCUGUCACUGCAGGAUGGGCCCGCGGCGCAUUAGCUAGUUGGUGAGGUAACGGCUCACCAAGGCGACGAUGCGUAGCCGACCUGAGAGGGUGACCGGCCACACUGGGACUGAGACACGGCCCAAACUCCUACGGGAGGCAGCAGUAGGGAAUCUUCCGCAAUGGACGAAAGUCUGACGGAGCAACGCCGCGUGAGCGAAGAAGGUCUUCGGAUCGUAAAGCUCUGUUGUCAGGGAAGAACAAGUGCCGUUCGAACAGGGCGGUACCUUGACGGUACCUGACGAGGAAGCCACGGCUAACUACGUGCCAGCAGCCGCGGUAAUAC